UCGGGAAUUUUGGGCAAUGGGCGAAAGCCUGACCCAGCAACGCCGCGUGAAGGAUGAAGUAUUUCGGUAUGUAAACUUCGUAAGAAUAGGAAGAAUAAAUGACGGUACUAUUUGUAAGGUCCGGCUAACUACGUGCCAGCAGCCGCGGUAAUACGUAGGGACCAAGCGUUGUUCGGAUUUACUGGGCGUAAAGGGCGCGUAGGCGGCGUGGUAAGUCAUCUGUGAAAUCUCCGAGCUUAACUCGGAACGGUCAGAUGAUACUGCUGUGCUAGAGUACAGAAAGGGCAAUCGGAAUUCUUGGUGUAGCGGUGAAAUGCGUAGAUAUCAAGAGGAACACCUGAGGCGAAGGCGGGUUGCUAGGCUGAUACUGACGCUGAGGCGCGAAAGCUAGGGUAGCAAACGGGAUUAGAUACCCGAGUAGUCCCUGAGCGGGCUGGCAAGGCGCAU
This 447-nucleotide ribosomal RNA is filed under the name uncultured bacterium. RNAcentral describes it as "bacterial SSU rRNA". It matches the Rfam family "Bacterial small subunit ribosomal RNA", at positions 355 to 825 of the family's 1533-position model. The record is from RNAcentral.